UGCCCAGAUCUAAUCUCUUCCCAUCUUUAACUCUCUUCUGAAAUCUUAACUCCUCCAUUUAAGUUUUUUUCUCCCUAGGUCACAUCCUCUCAACAGUCUAGAGGAGGCACUUAAGCUCAACACACAGCUCCUCUCCCAUUUGGGUCUCGCCGCUGCCUAAGGGGAAGGGAGGGCAAGAUGGCCUGGGAGUCUGAAGGAUCUGGGUUCUAAUCCCAGCUCCGCCACUUGUCUGCUGUGUGACCUUGGGCAAGUCACGUCACUACUCUGUGCUUCGGUUACCUCAUCUGUCAAGGGGAUUAAGAGUGUGAGCCCCAUGUGGAACAAAGACUGUGUCCAACUUGACCACCUUGUAUCUCCCCCAGCUCUUAGUACCAGGCCUGGCUCGUAGUAAGUGCAUAACAGUUACCAUAAAAAAGUCAUCUCAACAUUUUUGCAUCAUCUCAAUAUUUAAUGCUCUCACAACUUCCCCUAGCACUUUUGUGCGUAAGCAUUUACAAACUCUACUAUUUGCCCAUUUCUUCCUCCUAUCUGUCAAUUAUUUUGUGUCUCUGUCCGCUAUUUAAAUUGUCAGCUCCUUGAGGGCAGGCAUGAUGUCUUCCACCUCUAUUGUAGCCUCCCAAGCACUCGAUACACUUCUCUGCACACAGGUGGUCAAGAAGUACGAUGGAGUGAAUAGCUGGAUGCUUGAAUGGGAACCUUGGGGAAGGGUCUCAUGCCACUAAUUUAUUUCCUUUGGCUAGACCCUGCUGCCUUCCCCGAUGCCCUACACCUUCAGUGGAGUCACCGAACCACAAUUUACAAUCUGCUGAGGAAGAGCUGGGUCUGUUAUUCUCGGGGAGCCUUGAGCUCGCACCCAGAAGCCUGGAACCUAGUAAGGGCUUAGUGCAGUGUUCUGCACCCACUAAGCCCUCAAUAAAUACUGUCGAUUGAUUGCUCGACAGUACCGGUUGGAGUCCUCAAUAGGUAAGAUCUGUUCGCAAACAUGAAGUAAGGAUGGCUUAUUGGAUCUUAGUUGGAUCACUAAAGCACUCACUCUAGUGAUCAGGCAGGACUCCAGACAAGCUCAGAUAGCCCCCAUAAUCCUCGAAGCCUCCGCCCGGGACACAGGAAUUCCUUGCCCCUGCAUCGGCGAAUGAUUAAACGAGCCGGAAUAUAGGGUUGUCUCUUUCAAGAUUGCCGUGAUUGAUGGUCUAUACCCACUUUUUUUAAUCGCCUCAUGUUCAACUGAAGUCUCUCCUGCCGUAGUUACCUACAUUUGAAU
RNAcentral lists this long non-coding RNA (1261 nucleotides) under Ornithorhynchus anatinus (platypus). Its description in RNAcentral is "lncRNA (ENSOANG00000040677.1)". Lineage: Eukaryota; Metazoa; Chordata; Mammalia; Monotremata; Ornithorhynchidae. The record is from RNAcentral.